UAUUUCAUUGAUGUACAAAAUUAGUUAUACCAAUCAAACUACAUAUGGCAGCCCACGCGCAUUGUGUAAUGAACUAUCUUUAAUCAGCUUUUAAAAAGCUCAUCUACUAUUUAGCUCAAGAGCGCUAACCUUUAGCACUCAAAUCCUCACAACACCAAUGUCCUAUUUUAUGCAAGCUAGGAAACUAGGCCAUAGAAAAUAAGUAAAAGGGGUGGCAAAAAUGGUGCCAGCAGUCGCGGUUAUACCAAUACCCCAAGCUAAUUCUAACAAAUCGGAGUAGUUUUUAUCCACAGACUAUAAAAUCAACUUUUAGCGUAAAAAACAAAUUAUAACCAAAACCUUCCCAGUCAUAGCUAAACUACUCCAACAAACCAUAACCUCAGAACUCGGAUUAGAUACCCGACUACUGUAUGGCUCAACACAUAAAAGAAAACUACGAGCGAAAGCUUAAACCUCAAACAAUGUGGCGGUGCUUUAUUCCUCAUCAGGGGAUCCUGUGGCUUAAUUCGAUAAUCCACGAAAAUUUUAGCUAUUCUUGUUCUACAGCUUGUGUAUGGCCGUUUAUGCUUGCUCAUAAAAGAAAAAAAAGGAAGCAAUAGGGCUAAUUACCCAAAAAUUCAGGUGACAUACAGCCAAUGAAGAGCAGAUCCAUGGGAUACAAAUAAACAUACUAUCAAAUUUAAAGUUUAAAACCUUAAUAAAGGAGGACUUGAAAGUAAGAUUUGAUUUUCACAAAAUAAAUCUGGACAAGAACUAAAGCGCGCACAAAUCGCCCGUCACUCCGACAACAAAGUAGGAUAAGUCGUAACACAGUAGGGGUAAUGGAAAUUGCCCCUAUCAUAGU
Molecule: ribosomal RNA, 844 nt
Filed under: Pseudanodonta complanata
Lineage: Eukaryota; Metazoa; Mollusca; Bivalvia; Unionida; Unionidae
Description: 12S ribosomal RNA
Source: RNAcentral